GACGAACGCUGGCGGCGUGCUUAACACAUGCAAGUCGAACGGAAAGGCCCUGCUUGCAGGGUGCUCGAGUGGCGAACGGGUGAGUAACACGUGGGUGAUCUGCCCCUUACUUUGGGAUAAGCCUGGGAAACUGGGUCUAAUACUGGAUAGGACCAUGCUGUAGGUGGUGUGGUGGAAAGAUUAGUUUCGGUAAGGGAUGAGCUCGCGGCCUAUCAGCUUGUUGGUGGGGUAAUGGCCUACCAAGGCGUCGACGGGUAGCCGGCCUGAGAGGGUGGACGGCCACAUUGGGACUGAGAUACGGCCCAGACUCCUACGGGAGGCAGCAGUGGGGAAUAUUGCACAAUGGGCGCAAGCCUGAUGCAGCGACGCCGCGUGGGGGAUGACGGCCUUCGGGUUGUAAACUCUUUUCAGCCAUGACGAAGCCCUUGUGGUGACGGUAGUGGUAGAAGAAGCACCGGCUAACUACGUG
Molecule: ribosomal RNA, 469 nt
Filed under: uncultured bacterium
Lineage: Bacteria
Description: partial 16S ribosomal RNA
Rfam family: Bacterial small subunit ribosomal RNA
Source: RNAcentral